CCCUUAGAUGUCCUGGGCCGCACGCGCGCUACACUGAUGCAUUCAACGAGUUUUACCUUGGCCGAGAGGCCUGGGCAAUCUUUUAAACCUGCAUCGUGAUAGGGAUAGAUUAUUGCAAUUAUUAAUCUUGAACGAGGAAUUCCUAGUAAACGCAAAUCAUCAAUUUGCAUUGAUUACGUCCCUGCCCUUUGUACACACCGCCCGUCGCACCUACCGAUUGGAUGGUCCGGUGAAGCCUCGGGAUUGUGGUUCUUGCCGCUUUAUUGUAGCGUGACCGCGAGAACUUGUCUAAACCUUAUCAUCUAGAGGAAGGUGAAGUCGUAACA
Molecule: ribosomal RNA, 326 nt
Filed under: uncultured eukaryote
Lineage: Eukaryota
Description: partial 18S ribosomal RNA
Rfam family: Eukaryotic small subunit ribosomal RNA
Source: RNAcentral